Molecule: long non-coding RNA, 1276 nt
Organism: Chenopodium quinoa (quinoa)
Lineage: Eukaryota; Viridiplantae; Streptophyta; Magnoliopsida; Caryophyllales; Amaranthaceae
Exons: 5
Source: RefSeq, a predicted model, not a curated record
GUAGAAAAAAUGAAUAAAGCACCGCACUUUUCGCACCGGUUCUUGAAAACCGGUGGUAAAAGAAAUAGGGAAAAGACUUUUCCCACCGGUUUUAAUCAAACCGGUGGGAAAAGAAACUUUUCGCACCGGUUCGAACUGGUGCGAAAGCAAUUGUUAAAUAAAAUAAAAAACCGGUCUCCAAUAUCUCACUUUUCCUCUUCCGUAGUCCCUCACUCCCUCUUUCAUCUCAAAUCCCAGUAUAAUCUCAAACCCUACUCCGCUUUUCUCUUUCAUCUCAAUCCCCACUAUAAUCUCCUUUUCUCUCCUCUCCCCGUCCUCAGAUUUUUGUGGUGGGAUUUCGAUUCGUUUCCUUGGUGGUGGUAAGUUGGGGUUUCAGAUCUAAAUUAGCGGUGGUUUGUUGGGGUUUCGAUUUGUUGGAGGUGGUAACAAGGUGGUUGUUUCGGUUCGCUGGUGGUCGUGCGAGUUGGUUGGGUGGGUUCCUUGGUGGUCGUCUGGUCGGUGGUGGUCGUGCGAGUUAGUUGGGGUUUCGGUUUGUUGGAGGUGGUAAGGUGGUUGGCUGGUCGCUGGUGGACGUGCGAGUUAGUUGGGUGGGUUUGUUGGUGGUCGCUGGUGACGUGGGGCUUUAAUUGGUGGUGGUGCGAGUUGGUUGGGUGGCUUUUGGGUGGUUGUGGUGGGGUUUCAGAUAUUCAUGGCGGUGAGAGGGUGGUUACAAGGUGGGUGCUGGUGGUGAUUAUUUUCUCUCUCAUCCAAUUGCCACAUGAAACUAAUUUUCCGAAAUUAAAGGCUGAGCAAGAGCUUGUGCUUGAAAAUGCACCUCCAAAUAUAGCUAAACCCUCACUUUCUUCACAGAAGAUUGAAAAUGCUCCAUCAGAAAGCCAUUUACUAAGCAAACGAAUGGCUGAUGGAUCCAAGAGAGUUAGAGUUCCUCACAUUCUCAGCCAGCAGGAGGCCUAAAUCAGUCUGCUCCUUAAGAAGUUCAAAUAUUUUCUGUCCCUCUUCAUAGUUACUACCAAAUGCUGCUCUAGAGAUCACAUCUGAACUGAGUUGCAUCAAAUCCGGGUAUCGUGCCAUAACCAGUGCCUACUAUCGAGGAGUUGUGGGUGCUUUGCUUGCGUAUGAUGUCAACAUUUGAGAAUGCUGCAAGGUGGUUGAGAGAGCUACGGGAGCACACUGAUCAGAAUGUUAUGGUCAUGCUAAUUAGGGGUGUACACCGGUUCAAAACCGGACCGGACCUGGACCGGACCUGUUUGGACCGGGGACCUGAAUUGGGUAAUUA